UAGGGAAUCUUCCGCAAUGGGCGAAAGCCUGACGGAGCAACGCCGCGUGAGUGAUGAAGGUCUUCGGAUCGUAAAACUCUGUUAUUAGGGAAGAACAAAUGUGUAAGUAACUAUGCACGUCUUGACGGUACCUAAUCAGAAAGCCACGGCUAACUACGUGCCAGCAGCCGCGGUAAUACGUAGGUGGCAAGCGUUAUCCGGAAUUAUUGGGCGUAAAGCGCGCGUAGGCGGUUUUUUAAGUCUGAUGUGAAAGCCCACGGCUCAACCGUGGAGGGUCAUUGGAAACUGGAAAACUUGAGUGCAGAAGAGGAAAGUGGAAUUCCAUGUGUAGCGGUGAAAUACGCAGAGAUAUGGAGGAACACCAGUGGCGAAGGCGACUUUCUGGUCUGUAACUGACGCUGAUGUGCGAAAGCGUGGGGAUCAAACAGG
Molecule: ribosomal RNA, 429 nt
Filed under: Actinomycetes bacterium
Lineage: Bacteria; Bacillati; Actinomycetota; Actinomycetes
Description: Actinobacteria bacterium partial 16S ribosomal RNA
Rfam family: Bacterial small subunit ribosomal RNA
Source: RNAcentral